Molecule: long non-coding RNA, 644 nt
Filed under: Phoenix dactylifera (date palm)
Lineage: Eukaryota; Viridiplantae; Streptophyta; Magnoliopsida; Arecales; Arecaceae
Description: long non-coding RNA (PDAC_LNC019351)
Source: RNAcentral
UUUGCCCCUCCGGAGGAGCCGGAGAGGAUCGCCCACGCGAUCCUCUGUUCCGGCUCCUUCCCCAAAUGAAUCGGGGCUGAAGUCGGCGAGGGCUGCCGACUUCAGCCCCGUGUCUCACACUAAUACAAAGAUGUGGGUGCUCAUUAGAGGAAUGAGUUCACUGAAUUGACCUACAAAGAGAAAUCUUAUGAAGUCUUACUUACAUGUCAAAAGAUGAUUCUCUUAGUGGGAGUUGUGCAACUGAUCCUAUGACCUGAGAUCACCAUGGUAUCUUGUGCACAUGAACCCAUAUUUUGGUUUACACUCAUUCAUGACAAUAAGUUUUGUACGAGGUCUUCUGGAUAUGGUGAAUUGUAUACGAAGAUUAUGAGUAGGUCAACAAGGAAUUAAUCACUUCUAGUAAGAGAAGAUAGCAUCCUAUUUAUUCUAAUCAUAUGAUAAUUCAGGAAACCUUUGAUCAAAGUAGAAUGAAAAUUAGAAAGAGUUUCUAAUGUUUCAUUAUUUGAAUUAUCAUUAAAAGAUUGAGAAAAAUAUGAAUAUGAAAUUGAGUUUGACAUAUAUUCAUACUCAUAUGCAUUUUUGGGAUGCAGUUUGAUUAAAAGAUUGAAUUGCAUGGUAACUUGCCACUGAAGGAUAUUUUUGGU